This 894-nucleotide ribosomal RNA is filed under the name uncultured Actinomycetes bacterium. RNAcentral's name for it is "bacterial SSU rRNA". It matches the Rfam family "Bacterial small subunit ribosomal RNA", at positions 618 to 1510 of the family's 1533-position model. The record is from RNAcentral. Lineage: Bacteria; Bacillati; Actinomycetota; Actinomycetes.
AGGGUGCGCCGAAUACUGAAGGGCUAGAGUGUGGAGAGGAAAGUGGAAUUCCUGGUGUAGCGGUGAAAUGCGUAGAUAUCAGGAGGAACACCGGUGGUGUAGACGGCUUUCUGGACCAUAACUGACGCUGAGACACGAAAGCGUGGGUAGCAAACAGGAUUAGAUACCCUGGUAGUCCACGCCCUAAACGAUGCAUAUUUGGUGUGGGCCAUUCAUUUGGUCCGUGCCGGAGCUAACGCGUUAAAUAUGCCGCCUGGGGAGUACAGUCGCAAGGCUGAAACUCAAAGGAAUUGACGGGGGCCCGCACAAGCGGUGGAGCAUGUGGUUCAAUUCGACGCAACGCGAAGAACCUUACCUGGGCUCGAAAUGCUAUGGACAGUCCGUGAAAGCGGAUCUUCCCCUUAAAAGGACCGUAGUAUAGGUGCUGCAUGGCUGUCGUCAGCUCGUGUCGUGAGAUGUUGGGUUAAGUCCCGCAACGAGCGCAACCCUUGUCCUGUGUUGCCAUCAUUCAGUUGGGAACUCGCAGGAGACCGCCAGCGAUAAGCUGGAGGAAGGUGGGGAUGACGUCAAGUCCUCAUGGCCUUUAUGUCCAGGGCUACACACGUGCUACAAUGGACGGUACAAUACGUCGCUAACCCGCGAGGGGGAGCCAAUCGCUAAAAACCGUUCUCAGUUCGGAUUGCAGGCUGCAACUCGCCUGCAUGAAGCUGGAAUCGCUAGUAAUGGCAGAUCAGCACGCUGCCGUGAAUACGUUCCCGGGCCUUGUACACACCGCCCGUCACAUCACGAAAGUGGAUUGUACUAGAAGUCUGCGCGCUAACCCGCAAGGGAGGCAGCGGCCCAAGGUAUGAUUCAUGAUUGGGGUGAAGUCGUAACAAGGUACCAAUCCCGCGG